CAUCAACAACUCCUCUCCAAACUUAACAUCAAAAUAGCCAUCAUGAGCAGCAAAACCUCAGUCUCCCUUCUUUUCUUCGUUUGCUUCGUGGGCUUGCUCAUUAGUGGCAUAGCCAUAGACUCUGAUGCUGAACAAACUGCAGCAUUUUAUAGCAAUUACUUAGCCGCCUAUCAAAAGUAUGCAGAGAAUGUUGCAAGCAAGAUGAACAACAAUGGCAUCCAUUCCGAACUCCUAUUUUUUCCUCCCCCAAUCUUUUUCCCAUUUCCAUGGCAUUUUCCUCCACUUCCAAUUAUAUCGCCUUUUCCUCCACUCCCUGGCAUCGGUGGUUUUCCAUUUCCUCAACACCCUCCACCACCAUCUGGUGGUGAUGGCAGCAAGAGCCCUCCAGGUCCUCCACAAGGUUUUCCACAUCUUCCGUUUCCAUGGCCUUUUCCUCAUCCACCGGCCGCUGGCACUCCAUCCCCUUCAUCCGGUGGCAAAGCCCCUCCAAGUCCUCCACAAGGUUUUCCAUUUCCUCAUCUUCCAUUUCCAUGGCCUUUUCCUCAUGCACCUGCCGCUGGCACUCCAUCCCCUCCAUCCGGCGACAAAGCCCCUCCAAGCCCUCCACAAGGUUUUCCAUUUCCUCAUCUUCCAUUUCCAUGGCCUUUCCCUCAUCCACCUGCCGCUGGCACUCCAUCCCCUCCAUCCGGCGACAAAGCCCCUCCAAGUCCUCCAGCCAAAAGUCCUCCUGCUGGC
This 735-nucleotide long non-coding RNA is filed under the name Coffea arabica (coffee). Its description in RNAcentral is "long non-coding RNA (CARA_LNC005347)". Lineage: Eukaryota; Viridiplantae; Streptophyta; Magnoliopsida; Gentianales; Rubiaceae. The record is from RNAcentral.